GUUUUUUUUAAUAAAAUUUAGUAUGUUCCUUUUAAUAAAAUAUGUAUGAAGUAUUAACAUUCUUUUUGAAUGUGAGGAGCACAGUGUGAGGAAAAAUAAGCAAAU
Long non-coding RNA from Hibiscus syriacus, 105 nucleotides. RefSeq lists it as uncharacterized. The record is from RefSeq and is a predicted model, not a curated record. The transcript has 3 exons. Lineage: Eukaryota; Viridiplantae; Streptophyta; Magnoliopsida; Malvales; Malvaceae.